Molecule: long non-coding RNA, 1158 nt
Organism: Salvelinus fontinalis (brook trout)
Lineage: Eukaryota; Metazoa; Chordata; Actinopteri; Salmoniformes; Salmonidae
Exons: 3
Source: RefSeq, a predicted model, not a curated record
GAGGAAACAUACCAUACAGCUAAAUAUAACUACCAUAGCUAGGUGGUUAGAGAGGAGUCAUACCAUACAGCUAAAUAUAACUACCAUAGCUAGGUGGUAGGUGGUUAGAGAGGAGUCAUACCAUACAGCUAAAUAUAACUACCAUAGCUAGGUGGUUAGAGAGGAGACAUACCAUACAGCUAAAUAUAACUACCAUAGCUAGGUGGUAGGUGAUUAGAGAUGAGUCAUAACAUACAGCUAAAUAUAACUACCAUAGCGAGGUGGUUAGAGAGGAGUCAUACCAUACAGCUAAAUAUAACUACCAUAGCUAGGUGGUAGGUGGUAAGAGAGGAGACAUACCAUACAGCUAAAUAUAACUACCAUAGCUAGGUGGUUAGAGAGGAGACAUACCAUACAGCUAAAUAUAACUACCAUAGCUAGGUGGUAGGUGGUUAGAGAGGAGACAUACCAUACAGCUAAAUAUAACUACCAUAGCUAGGUGGUAGGUGGUUAGAGAGGAGUCAUACCAUACAGCUAAAUAUAACUACCAUAGCUAGGUGGUAGGUGGUUAGAGAGGAAACAUACCAUACAGCUAAAUAUAACUACCAUAGCUAGGUGGUUAGAGAGGAAACAUACCAUACAGCUAAAUAUAACUACCAUAGCUAGGUGGUUAGAGAGGAGUCAUACCAUACAGCUAAAUAUAACUACCAUAGUUAGGUGUUUAGAGAGGAGACAUACCAUACAGCUAAAUAUAACUACCAUAGCUAGGUGGUAGGUGGUUAGAGAGGAGACAUACCAUACAGCUAAAUAUAACUACCAUAGCUAGGUGGUUAGAGAGGAGACAUACCAUACAGCUAAAUAUAACUACCAUAGCUGGGUGGUUAGAGAGGAGACAUACCAUACAGCUAAAUAUAACUACCAUAGCUAGGUGUUUAGAGAGGAGACAUACCAUACAGCUAAAUACAACUACUAUAGCUAGGUGGUUAGAGAGGAGUCAUACCAUACAGCUAAAUAUAACUACCAUAGCCUGGUGGUAGGUGGUUAGAGAGGAGUCAUACCAUACAGCUAAAUAUAACUACCAUAGCUAGGUAGUUAGAGAGGAGACAUACCAUACAGCUAAAUAUAACUACCAUAGCUAGGUGGUAGGUGGUUAGAGAGGAGUCAUACCAUACAGCUAAA